RNAcentral lists this ribosomal RNA (513 nucleotides) under uncultured bacterium. RNAcentral describes it as "bacterial SSU rRNA". It matches the Rfam family "Bacterial small subunit ribosomal RNA", at positions 15 to 518 of the family's 1533-position model. The record is from RNAcentral.
GAUCCUGGCUCAGAACGAACGCUGGCGGCGCGUUUAAGCAUGCAAGUCGAGCGGCAAGGGCCUUCGGGCCCCUAGAGCGGCGGACGGGUGAGUAACACGUGGACAAUCUGCCCCCCGGCCCGGGAUAGCCCAGGGAAACCUGGAUUAAUACCGGAUGAGACGGGACCCGCGAUGGCGGGAUCCGGGAAAGGCGCUGCGGCGCCGCCGGGGGAUGAGUCUGCGUCCCAUUAGCUAGACGGCGGGGUAACGGCCCACCGUGGCGACGAUGGGUAGCCGGCCUGAGAGGGUGGACGGCCACAUUGGAACUGAGACACGGUCCAGACUCCUACGGGAGGCAGCAGCUAAGAAUCUUCCGCAAUGGGCGAAAGCCUGACGGAGCCGACGCCGCGUGAACGAAGAAGGCCGUGAGGUUGUAAAGUUCUUUUCGGGAGGGGGAACAACCGUGGCAGGGAAUGGCCGCGGGAUGACGUGAAUCCCGGAAUAAGCCCCGGCUAACUACGUGCCAGCCGCCGC